Long non-coding RNA from Microtus oregoni (creeping vole), 1080 nucleotides. RefSeq lists it as uncharacterized. The record is from RefSeq and is a predicted model, not a curated record. NCBI's taxonomy places the organism in Eukaryota, Metazoa, Chordata, Mammalia, Rodentia, Cricetidae. The transcript is spliced from 3 exons.
GCCUACUCGAAGUUAGUUGCAGUAGCCGGCACCGCCUUCCCCAGGGCCAAGGCAGUGAAAAGCUGAAUCUGGGAGUUAGCAUUCCCCAGCUCAAGCUUCCUAGGCUUGUGAGCGCCCCCUCCUGUUCAGAGACGGAAUUGGGCUCCAAUUGAACCAAAUGCUGGAUAUCCAUUCCCUCUUAUCCGCAAAUAUAAAGGCUUCAAUUCUGCUUUAGAGGCCCACAUGGUUCCCACCCACACGUAGAACCCAUGUUUCAUCCACCCCUGGAACCCUCCGGAAUCCCACCUUGGGGAUGGGCAGCGACAGAUCACAAAAAACCUCGAAGGUCGUGGAGCGAUACCCACAGGCCUGGCACUUGAGGCAACUUUUCAGCUGGCCUACAAAUAGGUCUGGAUAGAAGCAAAAAGCAGGAGAAAGUCACUGUUGGACGUCGAAGGUGCUCUCUCGGAAUCCUGCCCUUGCUGGACCUGCCUUUCUGACUUCAGCACUGCCACCACCCGGCUCUACAACCACUUCCCAUCAUCACCCAGCCUUGCUCAUUCCUCUCCCAAGCCCAAACCCCCAGUUUUGCCCAUUCCAUACCCACGAUCUUGCUGUCUUCUCGCUCCAGGUAGCGCUUCCACAUCAAGUUGGCUCGAUCAUCGUCACUACCACAGAUCAAGGGAAGGGAGGGAGCACCCAUGAGAGAGUUAUAAUACUGGGUACCCCCAACCCAUUGAAAUUAUCCAGAGCCCUGUUCCCUAUCUGCAUUCCAGCUCCUUCCCUAAAUUUCUAGUCAAAGGAGUAAUUCUUUCAAGAACUUUCUGGGGAAGUCCAGGAUGAGGAAAAGUCUAUAAAGGAAAAGUGCCAUCCCACCUCUGCAAGCCCAUUGGUAUAUUUUAUUGUAAAAGAUCCCUCCUUUCCCAAUUUAGUGACACCUCCAACUCUAUUUUAUGCCUCUACCUGCAUCCUUCAGCUUCCCUCCUCCUCCUCCCUUCUGUCCUUUCCUGUACUGACAAAACAUUUAUGUUUCUAUGCUAAAGGGUCUCCCCAAGGCCCCACAUUUCCAGUUUUAGUUAGCUCAGUUCUGUGACGACUGAU